Long non-coding RNA from Balaenoptera ricei (Rice's whale), 2430 nucleotides. RefSeq lists it as uncharacterized. The transcript has 8 exons. The record is from RefSeq and is a predicted model, not a curated record. Lineage: Eukaryota; Metazoa; Chordata; Mammalia; Artiodactyla; Balaenopteridae.
UCUAGGGCUCUCUCUCCUCGCCCGAGGUUUGGACCCAGAGGUGGCAGGGGAAGUGGCAUGCGUUAUUUCCGGGCGCUGGCCUACGUCCCCCCACCCCUCGGGUGAGGGUGGACCGGGCUACGUCCGCCUGCUCCACGGCGUCCCCGGGCCUGAGGACACGGGACGACUGGGCCCCCCCGCCCCCAGCUCUGGCCGCUCGCCCGACGCCCGAGUCCUUUCAGCCUCCGGGUGAACUCAAGCGCCGCUGCGCUCACGGCCCGUCGGGCCACCAGGGGGCGCCCGCCCGCCCGGCGCGGGGCUGAGGCUGCUCUCUUUCCCGGGACUCAACGAAGGCAGGCGGAGGUGCCUUCCAAAAUGCACCUUGGGCCGACUGGUUCACAAUGAAUAAAAAGACAUUUAUUAUGUAAGUGCAACAGCAGGUGGCUUUCCCUACCCUCUUCUCGGAGAUGAGGUACCAGGUGCAGAGGAACCCCGGCUUUUACCGAGGGGACGGACUUGGGGGCCAAAGCCAGGGUGUGCAAGGCUGGUGGGAACGCGCUGCCUGAAUAUGGCCAAGUCUCCGGCAGAACAGCAUUUAAGCUUCGAACAUGUGAUACGUGACUGGAUGGAAUUCCUGGAGAACUGUAUUAACACGUUUCAAAGAGUUGAAUCCUGAGACUUGAAUAGAAACAUUGGCUCUUCCUGGAUCUCCAGCCUACCAGCCUCUGAACUAGAACUAUACUGUUGGCUCUCUUGGGUCUCCAGCUGACUGACUACAGAUCUUGGGACCCAUCAGCCUGCAUAAUCAUACUUGCCACACUCGGCUUGUGGAAUCAUAGUUCCCAGACCAAAGGAUUGAACCCUUGGGCCCACGGCAGUGAAAGCGCCAAGUCCGAACCACUGGACCGCCAGGGAAUUCCCAAUCGUGACUUUUUUUCUAUUGAUUAAUUACUGUUUCCAGGAUUUUCUACACGUAACUUCUUUUUCAUCAGAAGUGUGAAAGAACACAUGCUUUGAACAGUUGAGAAAAACUAAGGAUUACAGUGACACCAAGCAAGGGCCAAGAUGUGGGCAAAACUUUGUGCUAACCUGCCCUGCAGUUGCCUAUUUCCAGAAGCAGCUUGGCCAUUUCUCUCUGUCUUGCCUCAGUGAACUCCGACUUUCCUUGACCGUUAACCCCUAACUGGAAUGCACAAGGCCUGGACGCCUCUGUGGGCCCCGAUUCACCUCUCCCAAUGAGCCUCCCUUCCUGGCACUGAACUGCAACGCAAUAUUUUCCAUCUGUUGAAUGAAGAGCAUGACACAGGCAGCUGGAUAUGGUUUUGGAGCCCAGGGCAAACCAACGAUGCACAACUCACUUUUAUUCCACAAGCCUGUGGGAACCCAAAGAGAUAAGAGGCCUUUCUGCUAGGCUGAACACAGAGCCUGGCAUUCAGAAACAAACACUCCUUCCUGAAAUACUCAAUAUGUUUUUUUAUUCAAGCCAGAAACAUUGUGGGUUGGAAUAAUCUAAGGAUGAAUCUAAUCUGAAGUUAUCUUGAAACGUGAAAACAGAAUUCAAAAAAGGCUGAGACACUUGCUCAAGGUCAGCCAAUGCUACGUGGUCAAAGUGGAAUUUAAACCUGAAUGUGCCUGAUUAAAAAAGCCUAAUUCUUGGGAGGCAGAAGACCUAAGUAGACAUUUCUUAGAAGAAGACAUACAGAUGGCCAACAGGCACAUGAAAAGAUGCUCAACGUAGCUAAUUAUGAGAGAAAUGCAAAUCAAAACUACAAUGCGGUACCACCUCACACUGGUCAGAAUGGCCAUCAUUAAAAAGUCUACAAAUAAUAAAUGCUGGAGAGGGUGUAGAGAAAAGGGAACCUGGCUACACUGGGAAUGUAAAUUGGUGCAGCCACUAUGGUGGGAAUGUAAAUUGGUGCAGCCACUAUGGUGGGAAUGUAAAUUGGUGCAGCCACUAUGGUGGGAAUGUAAAUUGGUGCAGCCACUAUGGUGGGAAUGUAAAUUGGUGCAGCCACUAUGAAAAACAUUAUGGAGUUUCCUUAAAAAACUAAAAAUAAGAGUUGCCAUAUGAUUCUGCAAUCCCACUCCUUGGCAUAUAUCCAGAGGAAUCUAUAAUUCAAAAAGAUACAUGCACCCCAAUGUUCACAGCAGCACUAUUUACGAUAGCCAAGACAUGGAAGCAACCUAAAUGUUUAUCAACUGAUGAAUGGAUAAAGAAGAUGUGGUACAAAUAUACAGUGGAAUAUUAUUCAGCCAUAAAAGAGAAUGAAAUAAUGCCAUUUGCAGCAACAUGGAUGGACCUAGAGAUCAUGACACUAAGUGAAGUAAGUCAGAAAGAGAAUGACAAAUACCAUAUGAUAUCACUUAUAUGUGGAACCUAAAAUAUGGCACAAAUGAACUUAUUUAUGAAACAGAAACAGACUUACAUAUAGAAAACAAACUUAUGGUUAC